This 253-nucleotide ribosomal RNA is filed under the name uncultured bacterium. RNAcentral's name for it is "partial 16S ribosomal RNA". It matches the Rfam family "Bacterial small subunit ribosomal RNA", at positions 524 to 776 of the family's 1533-position model. The record is from RNAcentral.
UACGUAGGGUCCGAGCGUUGUCCGGAAUUAUUGGGCGUAAAGAGCUCGUAGGCGGUUUGUCGCGUCUGCUGUGAAAUCCUCAGGCUCAACCUGGGGCUUGCAGUGGGUACGGGCAGACUAGAGUGCGGUAGGGGUGACUGGAAUUCCUGGUGUAGCGGUGGAAUGCGCAGAUAUCAGGAGGAACACCGAUGGCGAAGGCAGGUCACUGGGCCGCAACUGACGCUGAGGAGCGAAAGCAUGGGGAGCGAACAGG